RNAcentral lists this non-coding RNA (24 nucleotides) under Gossypium hirsutum (cotton). The record is from RNAcentral. Lineage: Eukaryota; Viridiplantae; Streptophyta; Magnoliopsida; Malvales; Malvaceae.
UUUUUCACUGUCCAAGGUAAGCCU